Molecule: transfer RNA, 72 nt
Filed under: Saccharomyces cerevisiae R008
Lineage: Eukaryota; Fungi; Ascomycota; Saccharomycetes; Saccharomycetales; Saccharomycetaceae
Also listed under: 1 other name
Description: tRNA-His
Source: RNAcentral
AAAAUGAGAUAUGUCAGUAUGACAAUACGUCAUCCUAAACGUUCAUAAAACACAUAUGAAACAACCUUAUAA